RNAcentral lists this ribosomal RNA (361 nucleotides) under uncultured bacterium. Its description in RNAcentral is "bacterial SSU rRNA". It matches the Rfam family "Bacterial small subunit ribosomal RNA", at positions 26 to 376 of the family's 1533-position model. The record is from RNAcentral.
AGAACGAACGCUGGCGGCGCGCCUAAUACAUGCAAGUCGAGCGAGAAGACGUAGCAAUACGUUUGUAAAGCGGCGAACGGGUGAGGAAUACAUGGGUAACCUACCCUCGAGUGGGGAAUAACUAGCCGAAAGGUUAGCUAAUACCGCGUACGCUCCUUGGACUUCGGUUCAGGGAGGAAAGCGAUACCCGUGGGUAUCGCGCUCUUGGAUGGGGCUCAUGUCCUAUCAGCUUGUUGGUGAGGUAACGGCUCACCAAGGCUUCGACGGGUAGCUGGUCUGAGAGGACGAUCAGCCACACUGGCACUGCGACACGGGCCAGACUCCUACGGGAGGCAGCAGUAAGGAAUAUUGCGCAAUGGGC